RNAcentral lists this ribosomal RNA (440 nucleotides) under uncultured bacterium. RNAcentral describes it as "partial 16S ribosomal RNA". It matches the Rfam family "Bacterial small subunit ribosomal RNA", at positions 338 to 795 of the family's 1533-position model. The record is from RNAcentral.
CCUACGGGAGGCAGCAGUGGGGGAUAUUGCACAAUGGGGGGAACCCUGAUGCAGCGACGCCGCGUGGGUGAAGGAGUGCUUCGGCAUGUAAAGCCCUAUCGGCAGGGAAGAAGCAAGACGGUAUCUGACUAAGAAGCCCCGGCUAACUACGUGCCAGCAGCCGCGGUAAUACGUAGGGGGCGAGCGUUAUCCGGAUUCACUGGGUGUAAGGGGAGCGUAGACGGCCAAGCAAGCCAGGGGUGAAAGCCCGGGCCCAACCCCGGGACCGGCCGUGGAACUGCAUGGCUGGAGUGCGGGAGGGGCAGGCGGAAUUCCUGGUGUAGCGGGGAAAUGCGUAGAUAUCAGGAGGAACACCGGCGGCGAAGGCGGCCUGCUGGACCGCGACUGACGUUGAGGCUCGAAAGCGUGGGGAGCGAACAGGAUUAGAUACCCCAGUAGUC